AGCUGUGCUAUCCCAUUUACCUAUGCAGGCAAGAAGUAUUUUAAUUGCAUUAGCCAUAAUUCUGUGAGCGACUGGUGUUCUCUAGACGAAGAAUAUUUAGGGAGAUGGAAAUAUUGUACAAAGGACGACUAUGCCCCUUGUUACUUUCCCUUUGCCUAUAAUGGCAAACUGUGUGACACUUGCACAGUCCAUGGGAGUAUGUUGGGGAUAGCAUGGUGCUCACUCACUGAAAACUUUAACAAGGAUGGAGCUUGGAAGAGUUGCUUCUGAAACAGGCCGUGGAUUCAGACCAGACUGUGAAACCCAAGUGUGGAAGAUCAAGAAAUCUCAAGCUUGAAGGCCACGCCCCGAGGGCCAGAGGUGAUGAAAUCCUUUCCUUUCAGCUCC
Molecule: long non-coding RNA, 387 nt
Organism: Phyllostomus discolor (pale spear-nosed bat)
Lineage: Eukaryota; Metazoa; Chordata; Mammalia; Chiroptera; Phyllostomidae
Exons: 3
Source: RefSeq, a predicted model, not a curated record